Molecule: transfer RNA, 71 nt
Filed under: Bos taurus (domestic cattle)
Lineage: Eukaryota; Metazoa; Chordata; Mammalia; Artiodactyla; Bovidae
Also listed under: 1 other name
Rfam family: tRNA
About the family: Transfer RNA (tRNA) molecules are approximately 80 nucleotides in length.
Source: Rfam by way of RNAcentral
UUCCAGGUGGCUCAGUGGUAAAGAACCUUCCUGCCAAGCAGGAGAUGCAGGUUUGAUCCCUGUGUAGGAAA